This is a non-coding RNA of Oryza barthii, 133 nucleotides long. NCBI's taxonomy places the organism in Eukaryota, Viridiplantae, Streptophyta, Magnoliopsida, Poales, Poaceae. The record is from Rfam.
ACUGCCUCAUGAAUAACCAGCUGCUUAGUAUAUUUGCAUUUGGUUCAGACUGGGGCACAUAGCAAAUAGAAUCUUUUUUGAGGGAAGGGGCCUGAUUUUCUGUUCAUCCCUUCUUAGAUAGAUUCUGAUAUGA